GAUGAACGCUGGCGGCGUGCCUAAUACAUGCAAGUCGAGCGAACGGACGAGAAGCUUGCUUCUCUGAUGUUAGCGGCGGACGGGUGAGUAACACGUGGAUAACCUACCUAUAAGACUGGGAUAACUUCGGGAAACCGGAGCUAAUACCGGAUAAUAUUUUGAACCGCAUGGUUCAAAAGUGAAAGACGGUCUUGCUGUCACUUAUAGAUGGAUCCGCGCUGCAUUAGCUAGUUGGUAAGGUAACGGCUUACCAAGGCAACGAUGCAUAGCCGACCUGAGAGGGUGAUCGGCCACACUGGAACUGAGACACGGUCCAGACUCCUACGGGAGGCAGCAGUAGGGAAUCUUCCGCAAUGGGCGAAAGCCUGACGGAGCAACGCCGCGUGAGUGAUGAAGGUCUUCGGAUCGUAAAACUCUGUUAUUAGGGAAGAACAUAUGUGUAAGUAACUGUGCACAUCUUGACAGUACCUAAUCAGAAAGCCACGGCUAACUACGU
This 496-nucleotide ribosomal RNA is filed under the name uncultured bacterium. RNAcentral's name for it is "partial 16S ribosomal RNA". It matches the Rfam family "Bacterial small subunit ribosomal RNA", at positions 28 to 506 of the family's 1533-position model. The record is from RNAcentral.